RNAcentral lists this ribosomal RNA (448 nucleotides) under uncultured bacterium. Its description in RNAcentral is "bacterial SSU rRNA". It matches the Rfam family "Bacterial small subunit ribosomal RNA", at positions 329 to 793 of the family's 1533-position model. The record is from RNAcentral.
UGCCAGACUCCUACGGGAGGCAGCAGUGGGGAAUAUUGCACAAUGGGGGAAACCCUGAUGCAGCGACGCCGCGUGAGUGAAGAAGUAUUUCGGUAUGUAAAGCUCUAUCAGCAGGGAAGAAAAUGACGGUACCUGAUUAAGAAGCCCCGGCUAACUACGUGCCAGCAGCCGCGGUAAUACGUAGGGGGCAAGCGUUAUCCGGAUUUACUGGGUGUAAAGGGAGCGUAGACGGUGAUGCAAGUCAGAAGUGAAAGCCCGGGGCUCAACUCCGGGACUGCUUUGGAAACUGUGCGGCUAGAGUACUGGAGGGGCAGGCGGAAUUCCUAGUGUAGCGGUGAAAUGCGUAGAUAUUAGGAGGAACACCAGUGGCGAAGGCGGCCUGCUGGACAGUAACUGACGUUGAGGCUCGAAAGCGUGGGGAGCAAACAGGAUUAGAUACCCGCGUAUG